CAGAAGACUUUCUGAAGAGAGAAGAGCAGACUUGCUCUCAGACUUGAAUAUGUGAAUUUAUAUGAUUAUUUUAAAUACAAUUUUAGUUGUAUUUAAAAUGUCCAGUUGUUGAGAUUUUCUUUCACAUUUUUCACGAUGAUGAAAUUUUACUUUCUGAUUAGGAUGAACUGUUUAUGCUGUAACAAUCCUUAUUUGUAUGUAGAUAAAAUAUGUUAAUUACAAUUAGUAGCUGUGGUUUAAUACUGCCAUAGAAGAAUUUGUGCAAUAGGUUGUUUCACUUCUUUCGAAAAUUAUAUGUGAUAAUCUACAUGACUAUUUUCUAACAAUUAAAGUAACAAUAAUUUCUACAGUACACAGACUAACUCUGUGAAUAAAGCUGUUAACACUUUUAAAAUACUUACAAGAGAUUCCGGGAUUCCUGAAGAGGUAAAAACGGAUGAAUCAUCUGACAAUUAGUCAUUCAGUAAAACUUUUUAUAUGCUUCUUGUUUGUUAAUGUUCAUUUCAUAAUAUGACACAUAUUAUGAAAAACACACAUAUUAUGUGGCAGCAGAACCCUGUCCCUGAUGCUGUUUUGAGUAAUUAUGACUUCAUCCGGUAGAGGGCAGUAUUUAAUUAAAUUUAAUUUUAUCGUGUGUUAAACUGUAUUGUACUCAGGAGGGCUUUUUUCACAAUGAUGGUUUCUUAUACAUAAUUGUCAUAAAGUCAUAUUAGUCAUAAAGUUUUGAGUUUCUGUCUGGCAUCUUUCAGAUGUAGUUGAUGUAGUUGCAGCAGCUGGAAGGGAAGGGUUGUAUUGAAUGGAACGGCUGCUCAUCUUCCUCAAAUAAAUGUCUUACAAUAACUUAAUUUAUCAUGAUCUUUGAAACUUUGCAGACCUUUUACAUUCACAAUUCAAUUGUGUUUCACAAAGCACUGCCGCUUGGCAGGGUAACCCAUCCAAGUCACCCAAGGUCCUUCUGCAAGUCUACCAGGCCAAGGCAAUCAGAAAGCUACAUGUAAUGUAAUUAAAGUGCUCUAUUGUCACGCACUAAUUUUGUACUUAAUAGACAAAAAAUUCUUCAGACGGGUCAAAUUUUACAUGGUUCUCGGGCAGCCAAUGAAAACCUGGCAAAUUUGUUACAAACCUACGUGGUUCAUGCAGGAAGUAAGACUGGAAUUACUGACAACUCAUUUCAGGCAGUUCAGAAUCGAUUCUUUCGUUUGAAAGACAAUAACUUGAUUUAUCAUGACCUUUGAUAUUUAAAAUUUUGCAGACCUUUUACAUUUACAAACAGCUGUAUUACACACUACAUGAUAGGUAAUAUCCGAAAAGUUACUGGAAAUUAAAAAAUAGUUUCUUCUUGUAUCCUAGAAAUGUGACCCCUGCGGUGGAUUGGGAAAAAAACCUUGUUCUUCUUGCACUGCUACUGGAAGCAAAGUGUGCUCUGAGUGUAACGGUUCUCGUCAACGUCCUGAUAACGAGUCCUGCAAUAAAUGUGACUAUAGUGGACGUGAAAAAUGUAGUUCAUGUAGCGGCAGCGGCUUCCACAAGUGUGACACCUGUGAUGGAAAGGGACAGCUUCUCGUCUACAUCAACCUCAAAGUCAAAUGGAUCACUGAGAGGGAUGAUUUCGUAGGGCAAGAUUCGAGCGGUCUGAGAUCAGAAAAGCUGGGGAAGGUUUCAGGGAAGGAGCUCUUGAGAGAUGCCCAGAUUAUGUCUAUCCAGUGCUGGGUUUCCCUGAUGUUUCUGUUGCUCAAGCAUCUGGUGCCCGUUUCAAUAAGGAGGUUCAACCAACUCUGAGGUAAAACUUGAACUCAGAGUUUUCUGUUUCAGAACAGCUGAAUUGAGUUAGUUCAGUCGACUCUGAGUAGGUUGACUCUGAGUUAAGCUCGUGCACCACGACUAUGAAAAGCCAUCAUCAAUGGAGCUCAGAUAUUACGAUUCACCAUGGCAACAGCACGUGACAAAAUGAUGUCCACAUACAUUAAACUCAAUGCAAGUUUAAUUCUUAUCACUGUUAUAAUAUCAAAGGUGAAAACUGGCAGAACGGUAAGUUAUUGAACUAAAAGGGCAAAAAAUCAAAAAUGUGGAUGAAUUCAAAUAUUUAGGGGUUACCCUUGAUAAUACUCUUAGUUUUAAAAAUCAUGUUAAAGAGCUGAGUAACACACUGAAAUUUAAUCUUAUAAACUACAGACACAUAAGAAACUCACUUACUGUUGAAGCAUCACAUACAUAUUUAAAUGCAAUGAUUCUCCCACAUUUUUUUCUAUUGCAUGACAAGUUGGUCUCAGGCAUGUAAAACAGCCCUAAAACCACUUGAAUCAUUAGGUAAAAGUGCCCUUAAGAUUCACGACAAAAAAACACAGCAGUAUCACCACUGUCAGAUACUCACCAAAUAUAGUAUUUUAAAUUUUGAAAAACUAAUAAUGCACACAAAUGUAUGCCUAUUGUUUACAAUCAUUCAUAAUGCUACUGCUCCUCCUUUGAAAAAAAUGGUUACACUCUGCUCAGAAAAAACAACAAGAACUACCCGAUCAGUUACCAGGGGAGAAUGCUGUAUUCCUAAACGCAGGACUUCUUUUGGUAAAUCAUCUUUUUCUUUUAUUGCCAUAAAUCAAUGGAACUCACUUCCAACAGAGCUGAUUACAUGUACGGACUUUAAAACAUUCUCAUGUCACACAAAACAUUGGAUGCUGUCACAGCAAACUUGUAGACAUUUGUGAGUGUAUGUGUGAGUGUGUGUGUGAUGGGAGGCAUAUUUAUUUAUAAAAGGUUGUGGGAGGGUGGUAAAUUGUUUUAAUGAUGUAGAAAUGUGUGUAUUCAUAACUUUGUAACUGAUAUUUUGUACAACUGUGAAUUUAGUAACUGUUCAUUUAAUUAUGUUUUAUCUACCUGCCCAGGGACAACGGGUGGAAAAUAGCAAGUUGCUAAAACCUGGUGCAAUGCAUCUCUCCCUGUUAUAUACAGGGUUAAUGUUUUAUUGUGCAUCGUCCCUGUUCAAAUAAAAGAAAUAAUAAAUAAUAAUAAAUUGAACUAAUAUUCAUUUUCAUUUUAUUUUUUAUACUGGCAGAUGCAUACUAUUUGCACCUCCAGUAUUGUAAAUUAACAGGAUGCAAUAAUAUC
Long non-coding RNA from Megalobrama amblycephala (Wuchang bream), 3102 nucleotides. RefSeq lists it as uncharacterized. The record is from RefSeq and is a predicted model, not a curated record. NCBI's taxonomy places the organism in Eukaryota, Metazoa, Chordata, Actinopteri, Cypriniformes, Xenocyprididae. The transcript has 5 exons.